GAUGAACGCUAGCGACAGGCCUAACACAUGCAAGUCGAGGGACAGCACAAGGAGCAAUCUGAGGUGGCGACCGGCGCACGGGUGAGUAACACGUAUGCAACCUGCCUUCAACAAGGGGAUAACCCGUUGAAAGACGGACUAAUACCCUAUAACACAGGGGUCCCGCAUGGGAAUAUUUGUUAAAGGACAACCGGUUGAAGAUGGGCAUGCGUUCCAUUAGCUAGUUGGCGGGGUAACGGCCCACCAAGGCAACGAUGGAUAGGGGAACUGAGAGGUUUAUCCCCCACACUGGUACUGAGACACGGACCAGACUCCUACGGGAGGCAGCAGUGAGGAAUAUUGGUCAAUGGACGCAAGUCUGAACCAGCCACGUCGCGUGAAGGAAGACGGCCCUACGGGUUGUAAACUUCUUUUAUACGGGAAUAAAGUGCCCCACGCGUGGGGUUUUGCAUGUACCGUAUGAAUAAGGAUCGGCUAACUCCGUG
RNAcentral lists this ribosomal RNA (485 nucleotides) under uncultured bacterium. RNAcentral describes it as "bacterial SSU rRNA". It matches the Rfam family "Bacterial small subunit ribosomal RNA", at positions 28 to 507 of the family's 1533-position model. The record is from RNAcentral.